AUUGAACUGAAGAGUUUGAUCCUGGCUCAGAUUGAACGCUGGCGGCAUGCCUUACACAUGCAAGUCGAACGGCAGCACGGGCUUCGGCCUGGUGGCGAGUGGCGAACGGGUGAGUAAUACAUCGGAACAUGUCCUGUAGUGGGGGAUAGCCCGGCGAAAGCCGGAUUAAUACCGCAUACGAUCUGAGGAUGAAAGCGGGGGACCUUCGGGCCUCGCGCUAUAGGGUUGGCCGAUGGCUGAUUAGCUAGUUGGUGGGGUAAAGGCCUACCAAGGCGACGAUCAGUAGCUGGUCUGAGAGGACGACCAGCCACACUUGGGACUUGAGACACGGCCCAGACUCCUACGGGAGGCAGCAGUUGGGGAAUUUUUUGGACAAUUGGGCGCAAGCCUUGAUCCAGCAAU
Molecule: ribosomal RNA, 402 nt
Filed under: Burkholderia pseudomallei
Lineage: Bacteria; Pseudomonadati; Pseudomonadota; Betaproteobacteria; Burkholderiales; Burkholderiaceae
Description: bacterial SSU rRNA
Rfam family: Bacterial small subunit ribosomal RNA
Source: RNAcentral